GAAACGUAAUACGCCGCGUAGACUUCGGUCACGACGGUAUGGCGAGCUUUCGCCGUCCACGUUUCUCUUUCUUCAAGAAGACAAAAAACCGUAUCGACCGGUUCCCCGAAUGGGCCCGUAGCUCAGUUGGUUAGAGCACACGCUUGAUAAGCGUGGGGUCGGAAGUUCAAGUCUUCCCGGGCCCACCAUUUACUUGAUGUGAAUGAUGGUUUGGGAUGAUGGAAUGGCAGUUGAUGCGGAUUGUUGCCGAACCCGGGAUGUGUCCUGGGCGAUCGAGCUGAUGGGGCUGUAGCUCAGCUGGGAGAGCACCUGCUUUGCAAGCAGGGGGUCAGCGGUUCGAUCCCGCUCAGCUCCACCAAAUCGAUUGGUGUUGAGACUGACGGCAUUUGUCUUUUGAAGAAAUACAAGUUUUGCAUCGGCUUUGAGCCUGAUGCCUGUUCUGCAUAUAUCGUGAAGAGAAGAUUGAUCUGGAGGCUUCCAGGUGUUUUGGGGUUCUGCCCAAAGCGUCCGAGCCCAGUUCCUGUGAACCCAUGGAUGGCCUAGCCGGCCGGAUGUGGUGGAGGGAUUGGAGGUAGGAAGGAAGCUUGUCGCUCUGGAUCGUCAGCGUAAACCGCGUAGCGGUUUAUCGCGUGUUGUUCGUUGCCUUUGGGCAUCGUCUGACGGACGAUCGGAUUACCGUUGCCUGACCGCGCGGUAUCGGAUCCAAUCUCGAGAAGCUGGUCUUAAGACAGGCUGCAAGUGGGCUGCUCGGCGUAGCUCCAAUAAAGCAGACCUGUCGAACACGUUAAUGGCAU
RNAcentral lists this transfer RNA (794 nucleotides) under Rhizobium sp. RNAcentral describes it as "partial 16S-23S ribosomal RNA intergenic spacer". The stretch from base 112 to 185 matches the Rfam family "tRNA". Lineage: Bacteria; Pseudomonadati; Pseudomonadota; Alphaproteobacteria; Hyphomicrobiales; Rhizobiaceae. The record is from RNAcentral.